CCCUCGUUCCAUGUUGCCAGCGCGUAAUGGCGGGGACUCAUGGGAGACUGCCGGGGUCAACUCGGAGGAAGGUGGGGACGACGUCAAAUCAUCAUGCCCCUUAUGUCUUGGGCUUCACGCAUGCUACAAUGGCCGGUACAAAGGGUUGCGAUACUGUGAGGUGGAGCUAAUCCCAAAAAGCCGGUCUCAGUUCGGAUUGGGGUCUGCAACUCGACCCCAUGAAGUCGGAGUCGCUAGUAAUCGCAGAUCAGCAACGCUGCGGUGAAUACGUUCCCGGGCCUUGUACACACCGCCCGUCAAGUCACGAAAGUUGGUAACACCCGAAGCCGGUGGCCUAACCCCUUGUGGGAGGGAGCCGUCGAAGGUGGGACUGGCGAUUGGGACUAAGUCGUAACAAGGUAGCCG
Molecule: ribosomal RNA, 405 nt
Filed under: Arthrobacter sp. SR2-6a
Lineage: Bacteria; Bacillati; Actinomycetota; Actinomycetes; Micrococcales; Micrococcaceae
Description: bacterial SSU rRNA
Rfam family: Bacterial small subunit ribosomal RNA
Source: RNAcentral